This 542-nucleotide ribosomal RNA is filed under the name uncultured bacterium. RNAcentral's name for it is "bacterial SSU rRNA". It matches the Rfam family "Bacterial small subunit ribosomal RNA", at positions 776 to 1334 of the family's 1533-position model. The record is from RNAcentral.
CAAUAGACUACCCGGGUAGUCCACGCCGUAAACGAUGGAUGCUAGCUGUUAUGCGUAGUCGACCCGUGUAGUAGCGAAGCUAGCGCGUUAAGCAUCCCGCCUGGGGAGUACGAACGCAAGUUUAAAACUCAAAGGAAUUGACGGGGACCCGCACAAGCGGUGGAGCGUGUUCUUUAAUUCGAGGCUAAGCGAAGAACCUUACCAGGGCUUGACAUCCUUGGAAUUUCUCCGAAAGGAGAGAGUACUUUAUUGGACCAAGUGACAGGUGCUGCAUGGCCGUCGUCAGCUCGUGUCGUGAGAUGUUUGGUUAAGUCCAUUAACGAGCGCAACCCUUAUGAAUAGUUGUAUUUUUCUAUUCAGACUGCCCCGGUAACGGGGAGGAAGGGGGGAUGAUGUCAGGUCAGUAUUGCCCUUACGCCCUGGGCUAGAAACGCGCUACAAUGGCCGGUACAAUGCGCUGCCAACCCGCGAGGGGGAGCAAAUCGCAUCAAAGCCGGUCCCAGUUCGGAUAAGAGGCUGAAACUCGCCUCUUGAAGCGAUCG